This 302-nucleotide ribosomal RNA is filed under the name Emerita analoga. RNAcentral describes it as "partial 16S ribosomal RNA". It matches the Rfam family "Bacterial large subunit ribosomal RNA", at positions 2048 to 2530 of the family's 2925-position model. The record is from RNAcentral. Lineage: Eukaryota; Metazoa; Arthropoda; Malacostraca; Decapoda; Hippidae.
UUCAUAAAUAUUGAAGUUAACUUUUAAGUGAAAAGGCUUAAAUAAUUUGGGGGGACGAUAAGACCCUAUAAAUCUUAACAUUUCUACUAUUAAAUGUACUUAGAGUGUAGUUGAUGUAUGUUUAUUGGGGUAGUGUUUUACUGGGGCGGUAUAAAUAAAAUUAGUAACUGUUUAUAUUAAUUACAGUAAUACCUGAACAUUUGUAGAUCCUUAAUUAAAGAUCAAAAGUUUAAGUUACUUUAGGGAUAACAGCGUUAUUUCUUUUAAGAGUUCAUAUCUAAAAAGAAGUUUGCGACCUCGAU